AGCAGCCGCGGUAAUUCCAGCUCCAAUAGCGUAUAUUAGAGUUGUUGCAGUUAAAAAGCUCGUAGUUGAAUUUCGGGGUUAGCAGGUCGGUCGUGCCAUCGGUAUGAACUGGUCUCGCUGAUCCCUCCCUCUUGACGAACUGUGAUGCCAUUAAUUUGGUGUCGCAGGGAAUCAGGACUGUUACUUUGAAAAAUUAGAGUGUUUAAAGCAGGCUCACGCUUGAAUACAUUAGCAUGGAAUAAUGAAAUAGGACGUUUGAUUCUAUUUUGUUGGUUUCUAGGAUCGACGUAAUGAUUAAUAGGGAUAGUUGGGGGCAUUAGUAUUCAAUUGUCAGAGGUGAAAUUCUUGGAUUUAUUGAAGACUAACUACUGCGAAAGCAUUUGCCAAGGAUGUUUUCAUUAAUCAAGAACGAAAGUUAGGGGAUCGAAGACGAUCAGAUACCGUCGUAGUCUUAACCAUAAACUAUGCCGACUAGGGAUCGGGUGAUGUUAAUUUUUAAUGACUCAUUC
RNAcentral lists this unclassified non-coding RNA (509 nucleotides) under uncultured Glomus. RNAcentral describes it as "SSU rRNA". It matches the Rfam family "Eukaryotic small subunit ribosomal RNA", at positions 569 to 1081 of the family's 1831-position model. Lineage: Eukaryota; Fungi; Glomeromycota; Glomeromycetes; Glomerales; Glomeraceae. The record is from RNAcentral.